Molecule: ribosomal RNA, 1034 nt
Filed under: Micrococcus luteus
Lineage: Bacteria; Bacillati; Actinomycetota; Actinomycetes; Micrococcales; Micrococcaceae
Description: bacterial SSU rRNA
Rfam family: Bacterial small subunit ribosomal RNA
Source: RNAcentral
AAAAGGCUUACUUUCCGCUAUAUGUGGGAGUAAGAGCUAGUACGCGGUUUGUCGCGUCUGUCGUGACACUCCGGGGCUUCACCCCGGAUCUGCGGUGGGUACGGGCAUACUACUAGUGCAGUAAGGGAGACUGGAAUUCCUGGUGUAGCGGUGGAAUGCGCAGAUAUCAGGAGGAACACCGAUGGAAGAAGGCAGGUCUCUGGUCUGUAACUGACACUCAGGAGCGAAAGCAUGGGGAGCGAACAGGAUUACAUACCCUGGUAGUCCAUGCCGUAAACGUUGGGCACUAGGUGUGGGGACCAUUCCACGGUUUCCGCGCCGCAGCUAACGCAUUAACUGCCCCGCCUGGGGAGUACGGCCGCAAGGCUAAAACUCAAAGGAAUUGACGGGGGCCCGCACAAGCGGCGGAGCAUGCGGAUUAAUUCGAUGCAACGCGAAGAACCUUACCAAGGCUUGACAUGUUCUCGAUCGCCGUAGAGAUACGGUUUCCCCUUUGGGGCGGGUUCACAGGUGGUGCAUGGUUGUCGUCAGCUCGUGUCGUGAGAUGUUGGGUUAAGUCCCGCAACGAGCGCAACCCUCGUUCCAUGUUGCCAGCACGUCGUGGUGGGGACUCAUGGGAGACUGCCGGGGUCAACUCGGAGGAAGGUGAGGACGACGUCAAAUCAUCAUGCCCCUUAUGUCUUGGGCUUCACGCAUGCUACAAUGGCCGGUACGAUGGGUUGCGAUACUGUGAGGUGGAGCUAAUCCCAAAAAGCCGGUCUCAGUUCGGAUUGGGGUCUGCAACUCGACCCCAUGAAGUCGGAGUCGCUAGUAAUCGCAGAUCAGCAACGCUGCGGUGAAUACGUUCCCGGGCCUUGUACACACCGCCCGUCAGUCACGAAAGUUGGUACACCCGAACCGGUGGCUAACCUUGUGGGGGAGCGUCGAAGGUGGACCGCGAUUGGACUAAUCGUACAGGGUAACCGUAAAAGAAAAACCCCCCCCCCACACCCCAAAACAACAAACAACCACACCCAACACCAACAGACGACAAA